RNAcentral lists this long non-coding RNA (665 nucleotides) under Ananas comosus (pineapple). Its description in RNAcentral is "long non-coding RNA (ACOM_LNC034334)". Lineage: Eukaryota; Viridiplantae; Streptophyta; Magnoliopsida; Poales; Bromeliaceae. The record is from RNAcentral.
UGUGAGGAUUUCCAAGUCAUUCUCAGGAUGGAGAAAUGGUUAAGGCCUUAGUCGUGUGGCAGACGAUGGGGCAAUGAUUAUGAAGAAUCAGUUUGCGGUUCGUGGUUGGGGUUGCCGCGGAGUUGGGUAUUGCGAAUGCCCGAGGAACCUGAGUUGUGUAGAGGUGCUAUGACUCAGUGUGGGGGAGUACAUAAGGUGGAGAUGUAUUCCCAAAUGUGAAUCCUCGACGAUGGUGCUUCUCGAAAGGAUAUGGAUUGGGCGGUGAAACACUGGGCGAAAGAGUUUACUUCGUGAAAGCUGUGUUUGAAGUCUGACCGGCAGUAGUCUUCGUUGGGAGCAGCUUCGACCAAAGUUGUGGGAAUACCAAAGGGCUACUCGAUGGACCAGUACUUCUCUCUUGGUAAAGGAAGGUCGAUAGGGAGAUCGAUGACUCUUUGGAGUGUGCCCAUGAUAUAGAAAGAGAAGGCAUCCUUGUGCGAGAGUAAGGAUUGAGGUUGGAACCUUAACUCGCAGAGUGAGGUGAUAAGGCUAGCUUCGAGCAGAACGGUGACAUCGUUGGUGGCUCGAGGUAGCAUACAUGUAUCCAUUGGAUGGAUGACAUGGGUUCCGCUUGAGGGAAUAGUGAAGGCUGUGGCAGAGCCGGAGCUAGCAGAGCGGAAUGUGGG